GAAGGCUGAGUGCAUUCAUUCAUCCUACCAACCCCUGACGUGUGUAUUGUGUGUCCCACGCUGAACAGAUCUCUUCAUUUCCAAGUUCAAGCAUCACUGACCAAGACUAACUGCAAAUAAGCUCUUGAAGGAAUGCCGAGGAGAAAGAAACCCUUGAAAAGCCUGGCCUCCC
This 172-nucleotide long non-coding RNA is filed under the name Mustela putorius furo (domestic ferret). RNAcentral's name for it is "lncRNA (ENSMPUG00000031559.1)". Lineage: Eukaryota; Metazoa; Chordata; Mammalia; Carnivora; Mustelidae. The record is from RNAcentral.